AUGUGUGGUGGGGAAAGCAUGUGGUGUUGUCCACAGCAGCUGCAGGUUGCUGGGUGGGCCCUGUAGACAGACAAACAUGCCCAUCAGAAGUUAAAUACACCAAACCCUGUAUAGGAGACUCCAUACAGAAUAUAUGCAGCAAGAGGUAAUUUGACACAAAAUCCAAAAACUGCAGUUGCCCUUGUUUGCUUGCACAUGAAUGACAAUUACCCCCCCUCAAAAUCAGAGUGAUGAACGUAACUGUGUAGAUACCUGUAGUCACAGCUAUCACCUCCCAAGCAGAAAAGGCAUGCCCGGGAAUCGAACUCAGGUCGGAACUAGGAUACUUGCCUCAAACCAACCCAUUUUAUCAUGACUUCCCCAGCUGGGAACAUCUCACCAUUCCCAAGUAUUCGUUCCCUGUAUCAGCUAGUAACCAACAUACUUCCUCAACGGCUUCUUCCUGUUUAAACCUGGGUAGUUGCCUUAAUCAACCUGUUACAUCAUGAUUUCCCCCAGAGAACAACUCACCAGUGGUCACUAUUCACGUGUCAUGCCCCGUGAUAUGAGCCAGUAGCCAACAUAUGCCUCCAUCCUCAAUGGCUUCCAAACCGGCACCCAUAUCUCAGGCAGAGCGGCAUCAUGCUUAUGUCACCUUUCUUCAUCGUAGGCAGAGCUUUGGUGGAUGAUGCCGUCUGCAGCUCCCGUUUCUCGCUUCUGUACACAUGCCUGCUGAAGCAAGUUUACCAUAUGGGGUUGCAACCCCCUCAUUUGAGUCCUGCAGAUCAUGCAAGCAAGCAGUUGCAAUGUCUAGCACGCAAGCCCAAUUUUACUACUUCUCAUGAGACAACAUCAUACUUUGGGUUGUUGCUUGGGUUUGGUGCUGCCCAGGUGUGCAGCCAUGGCAGGAGGAGCGUGGUCGCGAUGGUGAAGUCCUUUGUUGCCAAGUUGCCAUAGAACUCGGCAAAGUCAUCAUAUUCCAUUCCACUGACGGCCAGGAAUUCCUCAAACGCUUUGGUGGCCUUAUCACCAGCAGCACUGCAAACGUUGCUGGGCACGUUUAAAAUGUACCGCUCAUCUAAUGAACAAGUGCAAUGGCUGAUGAUGCCACUCACUUGUCAUUCGUUGGCUGCAUCAUAGCUGCAGCUGGACCUCGUGCAUCCUGCGCCUAUUGUCCGACGGCUGCGUGGGCUGCAUCCCAAAUCCACCCACAAAAUCAUCAUUGGCUUCCAUUGUGAUAUUCCUCUUAAGCAUCUUUAGAGAUUUGACCUAUGAGGUUAACCAUAGUUAGAGAGUAGGGUCGGGCUGGAGCCAACUAUAGCACAGCCAGAGACUCUUGAUCCUGAGUAAGGUAACUAUUACAAAGACGAUAACACCUGUUAGUUUGAUGCUGCAAUG
Molecule: long non-coding RNA, 1377 nt
Filed under: Volvox carteri
Lineage: Eukaryota; Viridiplantae; Chlorophyta; Chlorophyceae; Chlamydomonadales; Volvocaceae
Description: long non-coding RNA (VCAR_LNC000668)
Source: RNAcentral